ACGGGUGAGUAACACGUAGGUAACCUGCCUAUGAGACUGGGAUAACUAUCGGAAACGAUAGCUAAGACCGGAUAACUGGUUUUCUCGCAUGAGAGAAUCAUGAAACACGGAGCAAUCUGUGGCUUAUAGAUGGGCCUGCGGCGCAUUAGCUAGUUGGUAGGGUAAUGGCCUACCAAGGCGACGAUGCGUAGCCGACCUGAGAGGGUGACCGGCCACACUGGGACUGAGACACGGCCCAGACUCCUACGGGAGGCAGCAGUAGGGAAUCUUCCGCAAUGGACGCAAGUCUGACGGAGCAACGCCGCGUGAGUGAUGAAGGUUUUCGGAUCGUAAAGCUCUGUUGCCCUAGACGAACAGCAAGGAGAGUAACUGCUCUUUGUGUGACGGUAUAGGAGAAGAAAGCCCCGGCUAACUACGUGCCAGCAGCCGCGGUAAUACGUAGGGGGCAAGCGUUGUCCGGAAUUAUUGGGCGUAAAGCGCGCGCAGGCGGUUAAUUAAGUUGGGUGUUUAAGCCCGGGGCUCAACCCCGGUUCGCAUCCAAAACUGGUUGACUUGAGUGUAGGAGAGGAAAGUGGAAUUCCACGUGUA
RNAcentral lists this ribosomal RNA (588 nucleotides) under uncultured bacterium. RNAcentral's name for it is "bacterial SSU rRNA". It matches the Rfam family "Bacterial small subunit ribosomal RNA", at positions 102 to 677 of the family's 1533-position model. The record is from RNAcentral.